Molecule: ribosomal RNA, 467 nt
Filed under: uncultured bacterium
Lineage: Bacteria
Description: partial 16S ribosomal RNA
Rfam family: Bacterial small subunit ribosomal RNA
Source: RNAcentral
GAUGAACGCUGCCAGAAUGCUUAACACAUGCAAGUCAACUUGAAUUUGGGUUUUUAACUUAGGUUUGGGUGGCGGACGGGUGAGUAACGCGUAAAGAACUUGCCUCACAGCUAGGGACAACAUUUGGAAACGAAUGCUAAUACCUAAUAUUAUGAUAAUAGGGCAUCCUAUAAUUAUGAAAGCUAUAAGCGCUGUGAGAGAGCUUUGCGUCCCAUUAGCUAGUUGGAGAGGUAACGGCUCACCAAGGCGAUGAUGGGUAGCCGGCCUGAGAGGGUGAUCGGCCACAAGGGGACUGAGACACGGCCCUUACUCCUACGGGAGGCAGCAGUGGGGAAUAUUGGACAAUGGACCAAGAGUCUGAUCCAGCAAUUCUGUGUGCACGAUGAAGUUUUUCGGAAUGUAAAGUGCUUUCAGUUGGGAAGAAAGAAAUGACGGUACCAACAGAAGAAGUGACGGCUAAAUACGUG